CACGUAGGGCGCAAGCGUUGUCCGGAAUUAUUGGGCGUAAAGAGCUCGUAGGCGGUCUGUUGCGUCCGCUGUGAAAACUCGGGGCUUAACCCCGAGCCUGCAGUGGAUACGGGCAGACUAGAGGUAGGUAGGGGAGAAUGGAAUUCCCGGUGUAGCGGUGAAAUGCGCAGAUAUCGGGAGGAACACCGGUGGCGAAGGCGGUUCCCUGGGCCUUACCUGACGCUGAGGAGCGAAAGCGUGGGGAGCGAACAGG
This 253-nucleotide ribosomal RNA is filed under the name uncultured bacterium. RNAcentral describes it as "partial 16S ribosomal RNA". It matches the Rfam family "Bacterial small subunit ribosomal RNA", at positions 524 to 776 of the family's 1533-position model. The record is from RNAcentral.